CAAUGCUGACGAGUCCCAAACAGGACGAAACAACCGUCCAGUGC
This 44-nucleotide non-coding RNA is filed under the name Echinostoma caproni. Lineage: Eukaryota; Metazoa; Platyhelminthes; Trematoda; Plagiorchiida; Echinostomatidae. The record is from RNAcentral.